CCUUUUUCAAAUCAGUGAAAUUAAUCUCCCCGUGAAGAAGCGGGGAUACUCAUAUAAGACGAGAAGACCCCAUGGAGCUUCAAACCCAACUACACCCCUAGCUCUUAUAGCCCCACAACCCCCCUAGGCACCGUGUGCUUGGUUUUAGGUUGGGGCGACCGCGGAGUACAAUAAAACCUCCACAAUGAAUGGGAACACCCCCUUAUCUGAGGGCCACACCCCCUAAGAAUUAGAACACUAACAUAAAAUGAUCCAUUACUUGAUCAAUGAACCAAGUUACCCUGGGGAUAACAGCGCAAUCCAUUUCAAGAGCCCCUAUCGACAAAUGGGUUUACGACCUCGAUGUUGGAUCAGGGUACCCCAGUGGUGCAGCAGCUACUAACGGUUCGUUUGUUCAACGAUUAAAACCCU
This 411-nucleotide ribosomal RNA is filed under the name Mantidactylus melanopleura. RNAcentral describes it as "partial 16S ribosomal RNA". It matches the Rfam family "Bacterial large subunit ribosomal RNA", at positions 2022 to 2597 of the family's 2925-position model. The record is from RNAcentral. Lineage: Eukaryota; Metazoa; Chordata; Amphibia; Anura; Mantellidae.